RNAcentral lists this ribosomal RNA (413 nucleotides) under Bacillus subtilis. RNAcentral describes it as "bacterial SSU rRNA". It matches the Rfam family "Bacterial small subunit ribosomal RNA", at positions 509 to 916 of the family's 1533-position model. The record is from RNAcentral. Lineage: Bacteria; Bacillati; Bacillota; Bacilli; Caryophanales; Bacillaceae.
CAGCAGCCGCGGUAAUACGUAGGUGGCAAGCGUUGUCCGGAAUUAUUGGGCGUAAAGGGCUCGCAGGCGGUUUCUUAAGUCUGAUGUGAAAGCCCCCGGCUCAACCCGGGGAGGGUCAUUGGAAACUGGGGAACUUGAGUGCAGAAGAGGAGAGUGGAAUUCCACGUGUAGCCGGUGAAAUGCGUAGAGAUGUGGAGGGACACCAGUGGCGAAGGCGACUCUCUGGUCUGUAACUGACGCUGAGGAGCGAAAGCGUGGGGAGCGAACAGGAUUAGAUACCCUGGUAGUCCACCGCCCGUAAACGAUGAGUGCUAAGUUGUUGGGGGGUUCCGCCCCUUAGUGCUGCAGCUAACGCAUUAAGCACUCCGCCUGGGGAGUACGGUCGCAAGACUGAAACUCAAAGGAAUUGAGGG